Molecule: ribosomal RNA, 477 nt
Filed under: uncultured bacterium
Lineage: Bacteria
Description: partial 16S ribosomal RNA
Rfam family: Bacterial small subunit ribosomal RNA
Source: RNAcentral
GACGAACGCUGGCGGCGUGCUUAACACAUGCAAGUCGAACGGUAAGGCCCUUCGGGGUACACGAGUGGCGAACGGGUGAGUAACACGUGGGUGAUCUGCCCUGCACUUCGGGAUAAGCCUGGGAAACUGGGUCUAAUACCGGAUAGGACCACUGCCUGCAUGGGUGGUGGUGGAAAGCUUUUGCGGUGUGGGAUGGGCCCGCGGCCUAUUAGCUUGUUGGUGGGGGGAUGGCCUACCAAGGCGACGACGGUAGCCGGCCUGAGAGGGUGACCGGCUACACUGGGACUGAGAUACGGCCCAGACUCCUACGGGAGGCAGCAGUGGGGAAUAUUGCACAAUGGGCGCAAGCCUGAUGCAGCGACGCCGCGUGAGGGAUGACGGCCUUCGGGUUGUAAACCUCUUUCAGCACCGACGAAGCGCAAGUGACGGUAGGUGCAGAAGAAGGACCGGCCAACUACGUGCCAGCCGCCGCGGUAA